UGGGGCAGUUAUGGGAUUUAUGAGCAGCUAUGGGGCAGCUGUGGGAUUUGUGGGGCGGUUAUGGGGCAGCUGUGGGAUUUAUGAGGUGGUUAUGGGGCAGCUAUGGGGCAGCUGUGGGAUGUGUGGGGCAGCUAUGGGGCAGCGGUGGGAUUUAUGGGGCGGUUAUGGGGCAGCUGUGGGAUUUAUGGGGCGGUUAUGGGGCAGCUAUGCGGCAGCGGUGGGAUUUGUGGGGCGGUUAUGGGGCAGCUGUGGGGCAGCGGUGGGGUUCAGGGCGGCCCUGCGCUCUGCCCCACAGCCGCGGCCCGGCGGAGGCGGACGAGCUGCUGAAGCGGGUCGGCUUCCUUUACGACGGCACCUAUCGAUGGGUCGACCCACAUCGCCACUGACACGCAGCCGCCCCAUAGAUCCCGCCCCAUAGAUCCUGACCCAUGGAUCCGCCCCAUGGAUCCGCCCCAUAGAUCCCGCCCCAUAGAUCCAACCCAUAGAUCCCGACCCACAGAUCCGCCCCAUAGAUCCUGACCCAUAGAUCCCGCCCCACAGAUCCCGCCCCACAGAUCUGACCCACAGAUCUGCCCCACGGAUCCUGACCCAUAGAUCCCGACCCAUAGAUCCGCCCCACAGAUCCCACCCCAUAGAUCCACCACAUAGAUCCCACCCCACAGAUCCCAACCCAUAGAUCUAUCCCAUAGAUCCUGACCCAUAGAUCCCGCCCCACAGAUCCACCCCAUGGAUCCGCCCCAUAGAUCCCGACCCAUAGAUCCACUCCAUGUUACACUCCCAGCCCCAUAGCAAUGGGGCCCUGAGAUGGGGGGCAGUUGUGGGGUGCCCCAUAGAUCCCACCCCAUAGAUUUGCCCCAAGGAACACUCCCAGCCCCAUAGCAAUGGGGCCUUUAGGUUGGGGCAGUUGUGGGGUGCCCCAUAGAUCCUGCCCCACAGAUCCCCCCCAUAGAUCCGCCCCAUAGAUCCACCCCACAGAUCCCCCCCAUGUUACACUCCCAGCCCCAUAGAAACGGGGUCCUGUGGUGGGGAGCUGUGGGGUGCCCCAUAGAUCCGCCCCAUAGAUCCGCCCCAUAGAUCCGCCCCAUGUUACACUCCCAGCCCCAUAGCAGCGCUGGGGUCUUGUGCUGGGCGUUACCUGUGGGCUGCCCCAUAGAUCUGCCCCAUAGAUUCCGCCCCACAGAUCUGCCCCAUAGCUCCUG
This 1199-nucleotide long non-coding RNA is filed under the name Phasianus colchicus (ring-necked pheasant). RNAcentral describes it as "lncRNA (ENSPCLG00000017042.1)". The record is from RNAcentral. Lineage: Eukaryota; Metazoa; Chordata; Aves; Galliformes; Phasianidae.